Haplochromis burtoni (Burton's mouthbrooder) is the source of this 444-nucleotide long non-coding RNA. RefSeq lists it as uncharacterized. NCBI's taxonomy places the organism in Eukaryota, Metazoa, Chordata, Actinopteri, Cichliformes, Cichlidae. The transcript has 3 exons. The record is from RefSeq and is a predicted model, not a curated record.
AUGCUGGUUAGCGUAACAGCGGUUGCCGCCGGGGUCUACGGGACCGUCCCUCCCAGGAAGACAGAACCCGACACCGCCUCCUGCUCCUCCUGCCUCCGUCGUUGAGGGCCGUCCUGGAGAGCGGUCCGCCGUCUCUUCUUCGUAUUGGACACUGUGUCAUCACUCAUUUUUAUUCAGCGAGGUGGUUAGCAGCCUUCUCUGUCUAAUUCAGUUGCUUGUUUUGGCUUUUAGCCAGAGAGUGUGUGAGGGACACAUUUAGAUUCAGACAACGUGACUGCAUGCUACGAGCGACAAGAAAUAACGGAAAGCAGGAGCAGCGAGAAAGCCUGAAAAGGACCGAUUGUUGAUUUCACCAAGAUAAACAACUGGCACAACAAGGUCUUCCAGCUGAAGAGGAAGUGAAACUUCUUGUUGGACAUGGGAGCUAAAAGUUAUGACACACUG